This 2901-nucleotide ribosomal RNA is filed under the name Escherichia coli E22. RNAcentral's name for it is "bacterial LSU rRNA". It matches the Rfam family "Bacterial large subunit ribosomal RNA". The record is from RNAcentral. Lineage: Bacteria; Pseudomonadati; Pseudomonadota; Gammaproteobacteria; Enterobacterales; Enterobacteriaceae.
GGUUAAGCGACUAAGCGUACACGGUGGAUGCCCUGGCAGUCAGAGGCGAUGAAGGACGUGCUAAUCUGCGAUAAGCGUCGGUAAGGUGAUAUGAACCGUUAUAACCGGCGAUUUCCGAAUGGGGAAACCCAGUGUGUUUCGACACACUAUCAUUAACUGAAUCCAUAGGUUAAUGAGGCGAACCGGGGGAACUGAAACAUCUAAGUACCCCGAGGAAAAGAAAUCAACCGAGAUUCCCCCAGUAGCGGCGAGCGAACGGGGAGCAGCCCAGAGCCUGAAUCAGUGUGUGUGUUAGUGGAAGCGUCUGGAAAGGCGCGCGAUACAGGGUGACAGCCCCGUACACAAAAAUACACAUACUGUGAGCUCGAUGAGUAGGGCGGGACACGUGGUAUCCUGUCUGAAUAUGGGGGGACCAUCCUCCAAGGCUAAAUACUCCUGACUGACCGAUAGUGAACCAGUACCGUGAGGGAAAGGCGAAAAGAACCCCGGCGAGGGGAGUGAAAAAGAACCUGAAACCGUGUACGUACAAGCAGUGGGAGCACGCUUAGGCGUGUGACUGCGUACCUUUUGUAUAAUGGGUCAGCGACUUAUAUUCUGUAGCAAGGUUAACCGAAUAGGGGAGCCGAAGGGAAACCGAGUCUUAACUGGGCGUUAAGUUGCAGGGUAUAGACCCGAAACCCGGUGAUCUAGCCAUGGGCAGGUUGAAGGUUGGGUAACACUAACUGGAGGACCGAACCGACUAAUGUUGAAAAAUUAGCGGAUGACUUGUGGCUGGGGGUGAAAGGCCAAUCAAACCGGGAGAUAGCUGGUUCUCCCCGAAAGCUAUUUAGGUAGCGCCUCGUGAAUUCAUCUCCGGGGGUAGAGCACUGUUUCGGCAAGGGGGUCAUCCCGACUUACCAACCCGAUGCAAACUGCGAAUACCGGAGAAUGUUAUCACGGGAGACACACGGCGGGUGCUAACGUCCGUCGUGAAGAGGGAAACAACCCAGACCGCCAGCUAAGGUCCCAAAGUCAUGGUUAAGUGGGAAACGAUGUGGGAAGGCCCAGACAGCCAGGAUGUUGGCUUAGAAGCAGCCAUCAUUUAAAGAAAGCGUAAUAGCUCACUGGUCGAGUCGGCCUGCGCGGAAGAUGUAACGGGGCUAAACCAUGCACCGAAGCUGCGGCAGCGACGCUUAUGCGUUGUUGGGUAGGGGAGCGUUCUGUAAGCCUGCGAAGGUGUGCUGUGAGGCAUGCUGGAGGUAUCAGAAGUGCGAAUGCUGACAUAAGUAACGAUAAAGCGGGUGAAAAGCCCGCUCGCCGGAAGACCAAGGGUUCCUGUCCAACGUUAAUCGGGGCAGGGUGAGUCGACCCCUAAGGCGAGGCCGAAAGGCGUAGUCGAUGGGAAACAGGUUAAUAUUCCUGUACUUGGUGUUACUGCGAAGGGGGGACGGAGAAGGCUAUGUUGGCCGGGCGACGGUUGUCCCGGUUUAAGCGUGUAGGCUGGUUUUCCAGGCAAAUCCGGAAAAUCAAGGCUGAGGCGUGAUGACGAGGCACUACGGUGCUGAAGCAACAAAUGCCCUGCUUCCAGGAAAAGCCUCUAAGCAUCAGGUAACAUCAAAUCGUACCCCAAACCGACACAGGUGGUCAGGUAGAGAAUACCAAGGCGCUUGAGAGAACUCGGGUGAAGGAACUAGGCAAAAUGGUGCCGUAACUUCGGGAGAACGCACGCUGAUAUGUAGUGAAGUCCCUCGCGGAUGGAGCUGAAAUCAGUCGAAGAUACCAGCUGGCUGCAACUGUUUAUUAAAACACAGCACUGUGCAAACACGAAAGUGGACGUAUACGUGUGACGCCUGCCCGGUGCCGGAAGGUUAAUUGAUGGGGUCAGCGCAAGCGAAGCUCUUGAUCGAAGCCCCGGUAAACGGCGGCCGUAACUAUAACGGUCCUAAGGUAGCGAAAUUCCUUGUCGGGUAAGUUCCGACCUGCACGAAUGGCGUAAUGAUGGCCAGGCUGUCUCCACCCGAGACUCAGUGAAAUUGAACUCGCUGUGAAGAUGCAGUGUACCCGCGGCAAGACGGAAAGACCCCGUGAACCUUUACUAUAGCUUGACACUGAACAUUGAGCCUUGAUGUGUAGGAUAGGUGGGAGGCUUUGAAGUGUGGACGCCAGUCUGCAUGGAGCCGACCUUGAAAUACCACCCUUUAAUGUUUGAUGUUCUAACGUUGACCCGUGAUCCGGGUUGCGGACAGUGUCUGGUGGGUAGUUUGACUGGGGCGGUCUCCUCCUAAAGAGUAACGGAGGAGCACGAAGGUUGGCUAAUCCUGGUCGGACAUCAGGAGGUUAGUGCAAUGGCAUAAGCCAGCUUGACUGCGAGCGUGACGGCGCGAGCAGGUGCGAAAGCAGGUCAUAGUGAUCCGGUGGUUCUGAAUGGAAGGGCCAUCGCUCAACGGAUAAAAGGUACUCCGGGGAUAACAGGCUGAUACCGCCCAAGAGUUCAUAUCGACGGCGGUGUUUGGCACCUCGAUGUCGGCUCAUCACAUCCUGGGGCUGAAGUAGGUCCCAAGGGUAUGGCUGUUCGCCAUUUAAAGUGGUACGCGAGCUGGGUUUAGAACGUCGUGAGACAGUUCGGUCCCUAUCUGCCGUGGGCGCUGGAGAACUGAGGGGGGCUGCUCCUAGUACGAGAGGACCGGAGUGGACGCAUCACUGGUGUUCGGGUUGUCAUGCCAAUGGCACUGCCCGGUAGCUAAAUGCGGAAGAGAUAAGUGCUGAAAGCAUCUAAGCACGAAACUUGCCCCGAGAUGAGUUCUCCCUGACUCCUUGAGAGUCCUGAAGGAACGUUGAAGACGACGACGUUGAUAGGCCGGGUGUGUAAGCGCAGCGAUGCGUUGAGCUAACCGGUACUAAUGAACCGUGAGGCUUAACCUU